Molecule: long non-coding RNA, 470 nt
Organism: Homo sapiens (human)
Lineage: Eukaryota; Metazoa; Chordata; Mammalia; Primates; Hominidae
Source: Ensembl
GUUUGGUUGUUAUUGUUGUAGAACGAGCAACAGAAAAACAACACUUGUCUGCCUGAGAAGGCUCCGGAAAAAAAAAAAAAAAAAAGGAAGAAAAGCGACCUCAAAGAGAUGAGCUCUCGGCUCAGUUGUCAGCAAACAACAACACUCCCCCGCUCCUCCGCUGGGCCAUCCUCCCAGCCCCAGCCCGCCGGAGAGGACAGACCGACGCACCGACAGGCCCCUCUCCCCCUCGCCCGUCUUUGUUACAUCUUUAGCAGCUUUGUGCGUAGCUGGCGGCCUCGAGCAGAAUCUGCACGUUCUGCAGAAAAGUGUUGAUGUGCUUCUCCAUCGAGUUCUCGCUGGUGUUGAAAAUGUCUGAGAAGGGGCACCUGGGCUUGGCCCCAGCGGGGUCCUCGGGCAGGGCCGGGGGCUGGGGCGCGGCCACGGCGGGGGGCACAGCCGGGGGCGCGGCGGGGGCCAGCCCCGCGCCC